Non-coding RNA from Henosepilachna vigintioctopunctata, 74 nucleotides. The record is from the annotation of a GenBank genome assembly. Lineage: Eukaryota; Metazoa; Arthropoda; Insecta; Coleoptera; Coccinellidae.
AGUCUCCGUGGCUUAGUCGGGAGAACACCCGACUAUAGUGCGGUAGGAUUCGGGUUCGAACCCCGAUGUGAUGA